CAAUAGCGUAUAUUAACGUUGUUGCAGUUAAAAAGCUCGUAGUUGGAUUUGUGGCGGUUCCUGUGGUCCAAUUUUGGUACUUGCGGGGACUGCCAUCCUUGGGUGGAUCCUGUGUGGCAUUAGGUUGUCGUGCAGGGGAUACCCAUCGUUUACUGUGAAAAAAUUAGAGUGUUCAAAGCAGGCUUACGCCGAUGAAUAGAUUAGCAUGGAAUAAUGAGAUAGGACCUCGGUACUAUUUUGUUGGUUUGCGCACUGGGGUAAUGAUUAACAGGGACAGUUGUGGGUAUUCGUAUUGCAUUGUCAGAGGUGAAAUUCUUGGAUUUCUGCAAGACGAACUAAUGCGAAAGCAUUUACCAAGGAUGUUUUCAUUA
RNAcentral lists this ribosomal RNA (371 nucleotides) under uncultured eukaryote. RNAcentral describes it as "partial 18S ribosomal RNA". It matches the Rfam family "Eukaryotic small subunit ribosomal RNA", at positions 592 to 975 of the family's 1831-position model. The record is from RNAcentral.